Molecule: ribosomal RNA, 150 nt
Filed under: uncultured bacterium
Lineage: Bacteria
Description: partial 16S ribosomal RNA
Rfam family: Bacterial small subunit ribosomal RNA
Source: RNAcentral
UGGGGAAUAUUGGACAAUGGGCGCAAGCCUGAUCCAGCCAUGCCGCGUGAGUGAUGACGGCCUUAGGGUUGUAAAGCUCUUUCGCUCGGGACGCGUUGGCUAACAUCCAACGCCUUGACGGUACCGGGAGAAGAAGCACCGGCUAACUCU